GGAGUAACGCGUGGGUACCGUGCCUCAUACAGGGGGAUAACAGUUAGAAAUGGCUGCUAAUACCGCAUAAGACCACAGUACUGCAUGGUACAGUGGUAAAAACUCCGGUGGUAUGAGAUGGACCCGCGUCUGAUUAGGUAGUUGGUGAGGUAACGGCCCACCAAGCCGACGAUCAGUAGCCGACCUGAGAGGGUGACCGGCCACAUUGGGACUGAGACACGGCCCAG
RNAcentral lists this ribosomal RNA (227 nucleotides) under uncultured bacterium. RNAcentral describes it as "partial 16S ribosomal RNA". It matches the Rfam family "Bacterial small subunit ribosomal RNA", at positions 107 to 334 of the family's 1533-position model. The record is from RNAcentral.